CUACGGGUGGCUGCAGUGGGGAAUCUUGCACAAUGGGCGCAAGCCUGAUGCAGCAACGCCGCGUGAGUGAAGAAGGCCCUUGGGUUGUAAAGCUCUUUCGGCUGGGGAGAAGGGUGCAUGGGUUAAUACCCUAUGCAUUUGACGGUACCAGAAGAAGAAGCACCGACUAAAUCCGUGCCAGCAGCCGCGGUAAUACGGAAGGUGCAAGCGCGGUUCGGAUUGACUGGGCGUAAAGAGCACGUAGGCUGGUUUUCAAGCCAGAUGUGAAAUCCCCGGGCUUAACCUGGGAACUGCAUCUGGGACUGAGAAUCUUGAAUGCUUGAGAGGUCGGUGGAAUUCCUGGUGUAGGAGUGAAAUCCGUAGAUAUCAGGAGGAAUACCAGAGGCGAAGGCGGCCGACUGGUGAUGCAUUGACGCUGAGGUGCGAAAGCGUGGGGAGCAAACAGGAUUAGAUACCCGGGUAGUC
This 465-nucleotide ribosomal RNA is filed under the name uncultured bacterium. RNAcentral describes it as "partial 16S ribosomal RNA". It matches the Rfam family "Bacterial small subunit ribosomal RNA", at positions 339 to 795 of the family's 1533-position model. The record is from RNAcentral.